This 371-nucleotide ribosomal RNA is filed under the name uncultured Glomeromycotina. RNAcentral's name for it is "SSU rRNA". It matches the Rfam family "Eukaryotic small subunit ribosomal RNA", at positions 569 to 943 of the family's 1831-position model. The record is from RNAcentral. Lineage: Eukaryota; Fungi; Glomeromycota.
AGCAGCCGCGGUAAUUCCAGCUCCAAUAGCGUAUAUUAAAGUUGUUGCAGUUAAAAAGCUCGUAGUCGAAUUUCGGGACUAACAGAUUGGUCGCGCCUUUGGUGUGUACUGGUCUAGUUGGUUUCUCCCUUCUGACGAACCACGAUGUCAUUAGUUUGGUGUCGUGGGAAAUCAGGACUGUUACUUUGAAAAAAUUAGAGUGUUUAAAGCAAGCUAACGCUUGAAUACAUUAGCAUGGAAUAAUGAAAUAGGACGUUCGAUCCUAUUUUGUUGGUUUCUAGGAUUGACGUAAUGAUUAAUAGGGAUAGUUGGGGGCAUUAGUAUUCAAUUGUCAGAGGUGUAAAUUCUUGGAUUUAUUGAAGACUAACUAC